RNAcentral lists this long non-coding RNA (6061 nucleotides) under Cicer arietinum (chickpea). Its description in RNAcentral is "long non-coding RNA (CARI_LNC001570)". The record is from RNAcentral. Lineage: Eukaryota; Viridiplantae; Streptophyta; Magnoliopsida; Fabales; Fabaceae.
UCCGGGUUUGGUUAAAGUUGCGGUUCAUGGUGGUAACCCGUGUGACCCGGAUAAGAGAUCGUGGGGCCCACUUGUUAUGAUGAAUGAGCUGAAGGAGUGGGUUGAAGGGAGAUUUUCUGGUUUGGUUGAUUCGAGUGAACCUGUGGUGAAACAAUCCUGCAUGUAUUCAAUGACACCUGAUGAGGAUUUUGUGAUUGAUUUUUUGGGUGGUGAGUUUGGGAAGAAUGUGGUUUUGGGUGGCGGGUUUUCGGGUCAUGGGUUUAAGAUGGCUCCUGUUAUUGGUAAGAUAUUGACUCAACUCGCGCUGGAUGGGGAAACUAAUGAGGUUGAUUUGAAACAUUUCAGGAUUGGAAGGUUCAACGUGGCAUCUAAGGUUUAGGUAAUUUUCUUCUCUUUAAUUAUGUUUUGGUUAUGCAUAUGAAAUAAUUGAGAAAAAUGUGUGUUGAAUGUAUUAUAAAUUCAGAAUUAUGAUGGCUGGAUGAAAUAGUAUGUUAUUGUAGUUGAUUGCAGCAAUUGGAAUUUGCAUAUGUUUUAUUUGAAACUCGAUAUUUGUAUCAAUGUAUUGCUCUCUUGAAACGGUGCUGCUAGUAAUCGAAUUCAACGUUUUAGAGACCAAGCUCAUGGGUAGCUUUACGUGGUUUUCACCCUUCUGCAGAAAAAUAAUGUACAUUUUUUGGGGUUUUAACCGUUCGGUUUCCAAGAGAAAGGAUUCUAGUAAUUCUAAGUUCAGCGUAAAGGUAAGUAAAAGCUUACCAUAAUUAUUUCGGUAAGAAUUUAAAUUCGAGUUCUUUAGAAUGGUUCCUCCUUAGUUGAAAUUGAUUAACCACUUGAGCUAAACCAUUUGAUAAAGAAAAAUGAAUAUAUAACAACACAAAUGGUGACAACAAUAACUGACCUUUAGAAGUUGGAGUUUUUAGUUCAAAAGAUGAAGUGGGCAGAGUUGGAUAAUUUAAAUAAGAAUGAGUGAGUUAUAAUGUACUUUUAAAAAAUGAAGAAAAAAACAAUUUGUGGACCCUCUGUAUGUCCCUUUUUCUCUAAAAUAGGUUAGUGGAAUUAAAAAGGGUUGCUUUGGGAUAGUUGAGUGUGUUAUGAUUACUAAAAUCAACUACUGUAUCAUUGGCUGCUUGAAUAAGAUAUAUGAACCAGAAAAAGGAAAACAUUCAUUUAAUAAUUCUUAAUAAUCAUUAGUUAGAGGACACGAGGCCAUAGUUGUGUCUGCCACUGUUUUGACCCAAGUAAGACAUUUUUAGGAUGUUUUUUAUAGUAAUGGAAAAGUUAUAAGUUUUGGAGGUUCUCUAAUCCCAAUAUCUUGAAGGAACUAGUAAAAGCUUCCACCUUGUAUUAUGCUUCGUUACUUUUCCUUUAUUUUUGAAUUAUAGGUUUCAAGUUAGGAGCUAGUGUGCAGUUAAGCUGUUUUCUCUCUUCAUGCUGCAAAUUGGAUUGUGAUUCUUGUACUCCAAUUGUGGAGAUAUGCUUUGACUGAUAGAUUUCAUCUCACAUCUACUUGUUUCUUUUUAUGGAACAAGAUGUUUUAGAUUGAAAAUUGCUUCCUCUCGGUUCUGCUUUAUUUUUUUUUUGAAAUAAGGAAUACUUUCAUUAAGCUGGUUCUGGCAAUAAAUCAAAGGCCACAACCGCAGAAAUACAAAUAGGUGUGUCUUCAAUUCUCUUCAAUCCAAACAUAUCUGAAUUAGAAGAAAGAGCAAAUUUAGCUAGAUAAUGAGCAGCUUGAUUAGCUACACGUCCAAUAUGGGUAAAGGUAAUAGAAUUAAACCUAGACAUUAAAUUGGUGCAAUCUCCUGCAAUUGCAUCACUUUGCUUGAAUCUGAUUCUGCAUAUAAAUUCAAAAAUAGUAGGUCUUUUGCAAAUUCCGACACCAACAGGCCGCCACUAAACUGAUGCCGUCUGCAUCCCUAAUGACAGCUGCGGUUCCCUAUUUUCUUUCCUUCGAAGGACCUACUGCGUCAACAUUCAGUUAACCUUCUAACGGCAAACACCAUCUGAUAUUUGAAUCCAGCACGGACAUGAACUGAUUCGGGAGCUGCAUUAUCUCAGUAUGUGCAUUGUUGAAGCUAUUAACAACAUUACUGCAGCAGCUUGCUGCCCUAGGAAUUUCCAUUCCUUCAAAGCACCUUCCGUUUCUAAUUCUCCAAAUUUCAUCACAUAGCCAUAACCAAUUGAACCGCAUCCUCAUCUUCACAAGUAAUUACUUGCUCUAGCCAAGCACUACAUGUGCUGAUUGAGUCAGUAUUCCUAAGGAAGAUGCAAACCAUACGGAUCUAACCCGUUCAAAUUCAUGAACAAAUGUUCUAUGGUUUCAUUAUGCUGAUCACAAAAACAACAUAGUGGGCUGCAUCGAACUCCUUUAUGAUGCUUUAUUUGUUUUCUUUGAUUAAGCUUUAUGAUGCUGUUGUUUUUUAUGAUUCUGUUCACUUGAAAGCUGUUAUCAAUUGUGUAUGCAUAUACUUCUAAUAUUUUUGAACAAUGAAUAAACUGUGUUUAUAGCAAAGGUCAUUUACACAUUAUCUGUAGCAUUUGCAUUUUAAAAAGUUACAUUUUGUAAUAUUUUUAUUGAGAAUAGCUUAAGUCAUUCUAGUUCAUGCACUAGGCUUAUUUAAUAUUUGAAGUUUUUAAUUUUUACAUAUUUAAACCUUAUUCUGAAAAUUGAAAGCCAGCCACUGUAUUAUUAGGAUUUUAUCAAGGAAUGGUCAAAUGAAUUUGUUUCCUCUUAUUUUACCUACUACUCUUUCUUUUGGUCUAUUUCUUUCUUGUAAUUCCAUUUGGAUGCUCUGUUUUUUCCUAAGCUCAGUUCUUUUAAAUUGUUUCUGCAGUUUAUGUCAAGCUGAUAUUGAUUAUAUUUGCAGGAAUUUGAAAAAUCAAAUAUUUGGUUCAAAAAUAUGGUAAUGCACAUGAAGUAUCUUGUUUUAGAUUAUUCAGGGAAGGAAUAUGUAAGAGGAGGAACGGAGAACAGUCUUAAUCAUGUUUGUGUAUUUGAAGGUGAAAAGGAAAGAACAUAAAAUGUAGGUGUAGGGUAUUUAUAGUUACAGUUAUUGUUGUAUUUAGUUGGUGACAAUUGCUGCAAGACUUUAACAAUGAAGUUGUUGAUUAAUAUUGUAUGUAUCAUAUUUUUAUUGAAUUAUUGCAAGAGUCUGGGGAUUCAAACAAACAUACAUGGAAAUCGAACUUGAGACCUUUCAAUUAAAGAAGAAGUGCGCAACCACUAAACCAACAAUUCAAUCAUGUUAAUAAAAAAACGUUUAUACUUACAUAUAUUCACUAAUAUUCCUGAAUUGAUCGAUAGAUAAGCUUUGAACUAGCUAUUCAUUAGAACAAGUGUGCAUAACUUAUACAUGAAAUCUCGAAAGCAUUAUAAAAAUGACACAUUUGAUAAGAUCUUGUGUCAUGUACCCUUUUAAUGAGAAUUUAAGAGUCAAGUCAUUUAACUAUUUGAAGCGGCCUCACUUCAUCCUCGCAUCAAAUAAGGAGUCAGACAUACCGUUAGAAUAUGGCUCAUGCAUAUAUAAUCAUCAUUGUCCCAUUUUUGCCCCUCUUUUGUUUUUGCUAAUGUUUCCACUUUCUUCUCUAGUGGACUUGUGGUGUUCAUAACAUACACCACAUUCAAAUUUGUAAGAACAAAUUUCAUCUUUUUCUGCCAACCGAUAAAAUUUCCUCCAUCAUAUUUCUCCAACUUCACAAAAUUAGAAGUCAUUAUUUGAGUGAUGCAGCCAUUGAUUGAAUUGUUACAAGACUUUAACAAUAAAGUUGUUGAUGAAGAUUAUAUGUACCAAAUUCUAAAGUGUGUUAUUACAUUUAACCUUUAGAUUCGAUCCGUCCUCAUCUACCGGAUGCAAAUGAGAUGAAUAGCGAAUCUCCUUCAGUAUAUUUCAGUAGUAUUUUACAAAAUAAUAGUAGCCUUGAGGAAGAGUUUCGCCCUUUUCGAAUUUAGGACAUUUCAAUUAAAGAAACAACACACAACCACCAAAUCGACAAUUCAAUCGUAUUAAUAAAAAGCAUUUAUACACAUAUAUUUAUCAAUAUUUUAAAAAUUUCUCAAUUGUCUAUCUAAUUGAACCAAUCUGUCUGUAAUUGGUAAACUUGUAGCUAGAACAGCUGCAACGGAAUUCAAUUUAUGCUCAUUAUUGAGCUGUUAGAGUUACACCGUUGGCAUGCACUCCCAUAAUCCAAUUUUGAGUUGAACCGGCAUGAGUUAGCAUAGCUAGAACUACAAUUCUACUAUUUUAAUUGACAAAUGUUACCAUAAUCUGUAUUAUGUUGACAAAUGUUAGCAUGGUCUGGAUUAUCUCGACAAAUGUUAGUAUUAUUUUUAAUCCUUGUCAUAUUUAAAAAUAAUAAUUGAGUACUAAUCAUUAAAAAGAAUUAUAGAAUACAAUGAAUUAGUGACAAACAAAAUAAAAUCAUACUUAACCUAGUAUUAGAUCAAUACUCCUACUUAACUACAAUUUGUUUGUGAAUAACAAGGGCUUAAAAGACCCAAAUCAGAACAACUACAACCAAUGUAGAUGUAGGGAAGUAACAAGAAAAAUUAUCAAAAUAAAAGGGGGAAACAACAUUAAAAAUUCUACUUUACCCAACAAAGGAAAUAUAAAACUUGGCAAGGUUUUGAUUAGCUUCCUUUAAAACCUGAAACUACUACUGGUAAUCUCCACCUUUGACAGAAUAUUGGUUAAUUUAAUACCAUAAGGGUCAGUCACUACCCGAAGAGUGAAACACUUGCUACUAUAGUAUACUGUAUUUUGUAAAUCGCUUUGUCUUGCAUGUCGCCAUUUACUAAUAAAUAAAGACAAAAAAACAACAAAUGUGUGUCAUCACUGGCGUCUAUCAUAGAAAAACAAACACGCGCAGCCAAAAGAUUCCACCUUUUCUAUACACUCAGAUAUUAUUAUUAUUAUUAAACACACUUUCAUCACCAUCAUUCACACACACUCACUCCAAUUCCCUUCUCAAGAGAUCCAUACAAUCUAUGGAAAAUUCAAUACAGUUCGACUUAAUUGUCGUCGGAGCUGGCGUCAUGGGAAGUUCCACCGCCUAUUACGCCGCCAAACACGGCCUCAAAACCCUUUUACUUGAGCAAUUCGAUUUCCUCCACCACCGUGGAUCCUCCCACGGCGAAUCACGCACAAUUCGUGCUACCUAUCUCCAACCUCAUUACUACCCUCUCGUUCUUCAAUCCUACAAACUUUGGCUAGAAGCCCAAGCCCAAGUUGGCUACAACGUUUACUUCAAGGCCCCUCAUUUAGACAUGGCCCACUUCAACGACCCAACCAUCUUAGCCGUCAUCGAAAACUGCCGGAAACACGGCGCCCAACACCAUCUCCUCAACCACAUGCAGGUCGCCCAGAAAUUCUCCGGCAACUUCAACAUACCGGAAGAUUGGGUGGGCCUGUCCACAGAACACGGUGGGGUAAUAAAGCCCUCAAAAGCCGUUGCUAUGUUUCAGACACUAGCUUACAAAAACGGAGCCGUUUUAAAGGACAAUGCUGAAGUAACUGAUAUAAAAAACGACGGAGGCGUUGUCGUUUUAACUGCGAGCGGUGAAAAGUUUCACGGUAAAAAAUGCGUGGUAACUGUCGGGGCGUGGGUGAAUAAGUUAGUUAAGAAGAUAAAUGGAGUUGAACUUCCCAUACUACCCGUGGAGUGUCACGUAACUUACUGGAGAAUUACAGAGGGGCAUGAAGGGAAAUUCGCAAUUGGGAAUGAUUUUCCAACUUUUGCCAGCUUUGGGAGUGUGUAUGUGUACGGAACACCAACUUUGGAGUAUCCGGGUUUGAUUAAAGUUGCGGUUCAUGGUGGUAACCCGUGUGACCCGGAUAAGAGACCGUGGGGCCCACUUGUUAUGAUGAAUGAGUUGAAGGAGUGGGUUGAAGGGAGAUUUUCUGGUUUGGUUGAUUCGAGUGAACCUGUGGUGAAACAAUCCUGCAUGUAUUCAAUGACGCCUGAUGAGGAUUUUGUGAUUGAUUUCUUGGGUGGUGAAUUUGGGAAGAAUGUGGUUUUGGGUGGCGGGUUUUCGGGUCAUGGGUUUAAGAUGGCUCCUGUUAUUGGUAAG